GGUAGCGUGGCCGAGCGGUCCAAGGCGCUGGUUUAAGGCACCAGUCUCUUCGGGGGCAUGGGUUCGAAUCCCAUCGCUGCAA
RNAcentral lists this transfer RNA (82 nucleotides) under Daphnia pulex (common water flea). RNAcentral describes it as "tRNA-Leu". It matches the Rfam family "tRNA". Rfam says of the family: Transfer RNA (tRNA) molecules are approximately 80 nucleotides in length. The record is from RNAcentral. Lineage: Eukaryota; Metazoa; Arthropoda; Branchiopoda; Diplostraca; Daphniidae.